GUGCAGCAGUCGCGAAAACUUCACACUGUGCGAAAGCACGAUGAGGGAAUCCCAAGUGCUUGCACGUAAGUGUAAGCUGUUUCUCUGUCUAAAACGCAGAGAGAGUAAGGGCUGGGUAAGACGGGUGCCAGCCGCCGCGGUAAUACCUGCAGCUCAAGUGGUGACCGUUAUUAUUGGGCCUAAAACGUCCGUAGCCGGUUUAAUAAAUGCCUGGGUAAAUUGUGUAGCUUAACUAUACGAAUUCCGGGUAGACUGUUAAACUUGAGACCGGGAGAAGUUAGAGGUACUCCUGGGGUAGAGGUAAAAUUCUGUAAUCCUAGGGGGACCACCAGUGGCGAAGGCGUCUAACUAGAACGGGUCUGACGGUGAGGGACGAAGCCCUGGGGCGCAAACGGGGAUUAGAUACCCCCGUAGU
Molecule: ribosomal RNA, 415 nt
Filed under: uncultured microorganism
Description: bacterial SSU rRNA
Rfam family: Archaeal small subunit ribosomal RNA
Source: RNAcentral